This 2820-nucleotide ribosomal RNA is filed under the name Alkalitalea saponilacus. RNAcentral's name for it is "bacterial LSU rRNA". It matches the Rfam family "Bacterial large subunit ribosomal RNA". Lineage: Bacteria; Pseudomonadati; Bacteroidota; Bacteroidia; Marinilabiliales; Marinilabiliaceae. The record is from RNAcentral.
AUAAGAAAGUAAAAAAGGGCGCAUGGGGAAUGCCUGGGCUCUCAGAGGCGAAGAAGGACGUGAUAAGCUGCGAAAAGUCAUGGGUAGGUGCAAAUAACCAUUGAUCCGUGAAUAUCCGAAUGGGGCAACCCGGUCAUUAGCAAUAGUGAUCAUCCUAUUUAAUAGGAAGCAAACCCGCUGAACUGAAACAUCUAAGUAGGCGGAGGAAAAGAAAACAAAAGUGAUUCCCUUAGUAGCGGCGAGCGAACUGGGAACAGCCUAAACCAAUAUUGUUUCGGCAAUAUUGGGGUUGUAGGACCGACAUAACGAUUAUUAAUACGAAGUGGAAGCAUCUGGAAAGUUGCAUCAGAGAGGGUGACAAUCCCGUACACGCAAGUAUGAUAAUCUGGUUGGUAUCCUGAGUAGCGCGGAACACGAGAAAUUCUGUGUGAAUCAGCCGGGACCAUCCGGUAAGGCUAAAUACUCCUGAGAGACCGAUAGUGAACCAGUACCGUGAGGGAAAGGUGAAAAGCACCCCGAACAGGGGAGUGAAAUAGUACCUGAAACCGUGCGCCUACAAGCGGUCGGAGUCUAUAUUUAUAUGGAUGACGGCGUGCCUUUUGCAUAAUGAGCCUACGAGUUAUUCCUUACCAGCGAGGUUAAGUGCGUUACAAGCACGGAGCCGAAGCGAAAGCGAGUCUUAACAGGGCGCUUAAGUUGGUAGGGAUAGACGCGAAACCUUGUGAUCUACCCAUGGUCAGGUUGAAGCUGUGGUAACACACCGUGGAGGACCGAACCAGUAAACGUUGAAAAGUUUUUGGAUGAACUGUGGGUAGGGGUGAAAGGCUAAUCAAACUGGGAAAUAGCUCGUACUCCCCGAAAUGCAUUUAGGUGCAGCCUUAUAAUAGUUUUGCAGAGGUAGAGCUACUGAUAGGACGCGAGGGCUUCAUCGCCUAUCAACUCCUGACAAACUCCGAAUGCUGCAAAAUGUUUUAUAGGAGUGAGGGCAUGGGUGCUAAGGUCCAUGUCCGAAAGGGAAAGAACCCGGACCAUCAGCUAAGGUCCCCAAGUAUAUGCUAAGUUGAAGAAAACGCGGUAUGGCUGCAGAGACAGCUAGGAUGUUGGCUUGGAAGCAGCCACUCAUUUAAAGAGUGCGUAACAGCUCACUAGUCGAGCGGCCGUGCAUGGAUAAUAAUCGGGCAUAAGCAUAUCACCGAAGCUAUGGAUUUGUACGUAAGUACAAGUGGUAGGGGAGCAUUCCAAACCGCGCAGAAGCCGUAUCGUGAGGUAUGGUGGAGUGUUUGGAAAAGCAAAUGUAGGCAUAAGUAACGAUAAAACGGGUGAGAAACCCGUUCGCCGAAAGACCAAGGUUUCCUGAUCAACGCUAAUCGGAUCAGGGUUAGUCGGGACCUAACGCGAACCCGAAGGGGGUAGUGGAUGGAAAGCAGGUUAAUAUUCCUGCACCUGUCAUACAAUAAAAGUGACGUGGGAUCGAGGUGCCUGGGGGCUGACGGAAUAGCCCGCUGAGCUUAGGCUACGGCCGAAGCGAAGGUAAGCAGAUUCUACCGAGAAAAGCGAGUAUGGCAGCUCGUACCGUAAACGGACACACGUAGUUGGGUUGAGUAUACUAAGGCGCUCGAGUGAUUCAUGGCUAAGGAACUAGGCAAAUUAACCCUGUAACUUCGGGAUAAAGGGUCCCUGCUCUUAAUUGAGUAGGGCGCAGAGAAAUGGCCCAGGCGACUGUUUAUCAAAAACACAUGGCUUUGCUAAAUCGAAAGAUGAUGUAUAAGGCCUGACACCUGCCCGGUGCUGGAAGGUUAAGAGGAGAUGUUAUCUUCGGAGAAGCAUUGAAUUGAAGCCCCAGUAAACGGCGGCCGUAACUAUAACGGUCCUAAGGUAGCGAAAUUCCUUGUCGGGUAAGUUCCGACCUGCACGAAUGGUGUAACGAUCUGGGCACUGUCUCAGCCAUGAGCUCGGUGAAAUUGUAGUAGCGGUGAAGAUGCCGCUUACCCGCAACGGGACGGAAAGACCCCGUGAACCUUUACUGCAACUUAGCAUUGAUUUUGGGUAAGUAAUGUGUAGGAUAGGACGGAGACUACGAAGCGGGUUCGCCAGGACUUGUGGAGUCAUCCUUGAAAUACGUCCCUUUGCUUGCCUGGAGUCUAAUUCCGCAAUGCGGAAGACAUUGCUUGGUGGGUAGUUUGACUGGGGUGGUCGCCUCCAAAAGCGUAACGGAGGCUCCCAAAGGUACCCUCAUGACGAUUGGUAACCGUCAGCAGAGUGUAAUGGUAUAAGGGUGCUUGACUGUGAGACCUACAAGUCGAUCAGGUUGGAAACAAGGGCAUAGUGAUCCGGUGGUUCCGUAUGGAAGGGCCAUCGCUCAAAGGAUAAAAGGUACUCCGGGGAUAACAGGCUGAUCGCCGCCAAGAGCUCAUAUCGACGCGGCGGUUUGGCACCUCGAUGUCGGCUCGUCACAUCCUGGGGCUGGAGAAGGUCCCAAGGGUUGGGCUGUUCGCCCAUUAAAGUGGCACGCGAGCUGGGUUCAGAACGUCGUGAGACAGUUCGGUCCCUAUCUGUUGUGGGCGUAGGAGAUUUGCGAGACCCUGUCAUUAGUACGAGAGGACCGUGAUGGACAAACCACUGGUGUAUCAGUUGUUCCGCCAGGAGCAUAGCUGAGUAGCUACGUUUGGAAGAGAUAAGUGCUGAAAGCAUCUAAGCACGAAGCUCGUCUCAAGAUGAGAUCUCCAUAUAGGGACGUUGGAGACUACAACGUUGAUAGGCUGCAGGUGUAAAGAUGGUGACAUCAAAGCCGAGCAGUACUAAUUACCCGAAGCUUUCUGA